AAUCCUCAAUGGAUCAACAGGUAGAGCAUCCGGCUGCUAACCGGAGGGUCGUUGGUUAAAUCCGACAGAGGAUUCA
RNAcentral lists this transfer RNA (76 nucleotides) under Ruminococcaceae bacterium OttesenSCG-928-O06. Its description in RNAcentral is "tRNA-Ser". It matches the Rfam family "tRNA". From Rfam's summary of the family: Transfer RNA (tRNA) molecules are approximately 80 nucleotides in length. Their secondary structure includes four short double-helical elements and three loops (D, anti-codon, and T loops). Lineage: Bacteria; Bacillati; Bacillota; Clostridia; Eubacteriales; Oscillospiraceae. The record is from RNAcentral.